Molecule: ribosomal RNA, 253 nt
Filed under: uncultured bacterium
Lineage: Bacteria
Description: partial 16S ribosomal RNA
Rfam family: Bacterial small subunit ribosomal RNA
Source: RNAcentral
UACGUAGGGUGCGAGCGUUGUCCGGAAUUAUUGGGCGUAAAGGGCUCGUAGGCGGUUUGUCGCGUCGGGAGUGAAAUCCACUGGCUUAACUGGUGGCUUGCUUUCGAUACGGGCAGACUGGAGGUAUGCAGGGGAGAACGGAAUUCCUGGUGUAGCGGUGAAAUGCGCAGAUAUCAGGAGGAACACCGGUGGCGAAGGCGGAUCUCUGGGCCUUACCUGACGCUCAGGCACGAAAGCUAGGGGAGCGAACAGG